UAACAGGUGACUGCCAAGGCCAA
Molecule: non-coding RNA, 23 nt
Filed under: Mus musculus (house mouse)
Lineage: Eukaryota; Metazoa; Chordata; Mammalia; Rodentia; Muridae
Source: RNAcentral